Molecule: ribosomal RNA, 341 nt
Filed under: Asceles cf. scabra SB0421
Lineage: Eukaryota; Metazoa; Arthropoda; Insecta; Phasmatodea; Lonchodidae
Description: partial small subunit ribosomal RNA
Source: RNAcentral
UAGUUAUGUUCUUUAAACCUAAAGAAUUUGGCGGUAUUUUAUUCUAUUUAGAGGAAUUUGCCCUGUUAUCGAUAAUCCUCGUUUUAUCUUACUUGAUUUAUUGGUAUGUAUAUCGCUGUUAUAAGUUUAUUUUAUUAGAAUAAAAAUUAACUUUAUUUAUUAUUUUAAGUUAUUUCAAGUCAAGGUGCAGCUUAUAAUUAAGUGUGAGGUGAAUUACAAUAUUAUUUGAAUAUACGGAUUUUGAUUUUAAAAUUUAAAUGAAGGUGGAUUUAAUAGUAAUUUUGAUUAUAAUGUCAAUUUGAUUUUAGACUUGAAAUAAGUACACAUCGCCCGUCGCUCUA